Molecule: ribosomal RNA, 483 nt
Filed under: uncultured bacterium
Lineage: Bacteria
Description: partial 16S ribosomal RNA
Rfam family: Bacterial small subunit ribosomal RNA
Source: RNAcentral
GACGAACGCUGGCGGCGUGCUUAACACAUGCAAGUCGAACGAUGAAGCUGGAGCUUGCUCCAGUGGAUUAGUGGCGAACGGGUGAGUAACACGUGAGCAAUCUGCCCUUGACUCUGGGAUAACUGCGGGAAACUGUAGCUAAUACCGGAUACGACACCUUGGGGCAUCCCGGGGUGUGGAAAGAAUUUCGGUCAAGGAUGAGCUCGCGGCCUAUCAGCUUGUUGGUGAGGUAAAGGCCCAUCAAGGCGACGACGGGUAGCCGGCCUGAGAGGGUGACCGGCCACACUGGAACUGAGACACGGUCCAGACUCCUACGGGAGGCAGCAGUGGGGAAUAUUGCACAAUGGGCGAAAGCCUGAUGCAGCAACGCCGCGUGAGGGAUGACGGCCUUCGGGUCGUAAACCUCUUUUAGCAGGGAAGAAGCGAAAGUGACGGUACCUGCAGAAAAAGCACCGGCUAACUACGUGCCAGCCGCCGCCGUAA